Molecule: small RNA, 26 nt
Filed under: Bombyx mori (domestic silkworm)
Lineage: Eukaryota; Metazoa; Arthropoda; Insecta; Lepidoptera; Bombycidae
Description: ovarian small RNA-35427
Source: RNAcentral
UGUAGCCCAACAACAAAAUUUGUAUU